Hyla sarda is the source of this 2012-nucleotide long non-coding RNA. RefSeq lists it as uncharacterized. The record is from RefSeq and is a predicted model, not a curated record. The transcript is spliced from 3 exons. NCBI's taxonomy places the organism in Eukaryota, Metazoa, Chordata, Amphibia, Anura, Hylidae.
GGAAAUGUAGUCUCUAUGCCAUGGCUGAUUACUGCUUCAGGAGGCAUUUACCGGAGAACGGCUGAACUGAUUUGGACCAAUGAGGCAUGGUUGGAAAGGUCUUUCAAAGAGCUAUUGGAUGAGACCCUGAAGAAUAUGGGUGGGGAUGAGUGGAAUACACAAAUCUGGACUGCCCGAUGACCUUCUAUAACAUGAUUGUUAGCUUACUGCAGUUAAGAAAGAUUUUUAUGUCCAGAGACAGAAUUAUGGUCUGCUGGUCAUGCAUCACAAGCUUUAAAAAUACCUUUAAAUCUACUGAGAGGUGAGAAGUAUCCUGGGAAAAUAGUAAAAGAAGCAUACAGAAACCUUUCGUAUCAUCUUCAAUCAGGUAUUGCUAUGUUUUACAAUGCACCAAGUGUGACAUGGGAUGCUACAUUGGUGAAACCGGACGGAAACUCAACGAAAGGUGGAUCUAAACAGACGUUCCAUCAACCGCCAUAAAGAAAAUGACUACUGCUCCCCAGUUGGACACCAUUUUACCCAAACAGGCCACUCCAUACAUGACCUUACGAUCAAGAUACUGAGAGGGAAUUUCAAAAACACACAAGAGAAAAAGACAUUUGAAGCUAAAAUUAUACAGUUUUAUUGAUUCCAAAAACUGGGGACUCAAUGUGGAUUUGAGCUUUUUAUCUCAUUAUCAAAACUUCUUAUAACCUUUACUGUACUGGAUUCUCUUUUGUAUCUCACUUUGUCCUGCUUAAUUACAGUCUCUCCCCUUCUCCCUCCUCCCUCCCUCCCCCCUUUUCUGAUCCUUAUCUAUUUAGUCUAAACCAUCAUCAAAACCAGUGUAAAGGAAGAGUGGUGCAGUUGCCCAUAGCAACCAAUCAAAUAGCUUCUUUCAUUUUUAACAAGGCCUGAAAAGUGAAAGAAGCAAUCUGAUUGGUUGCUAUGGGCAACUGGGCAACCUUUACUCUUCACAGGUAUUGAUAAAUAUCCCAUUAUGUUCCUAUAGCAGGACAAUUUAUGGCCCAUCUUAGUGUGAAUUCUCCACAUCUAUUGUCUUAACCCCUGCAUAUUUGUGAGAUGUAACCUGUGUCUUCUACUUGUGAGCGUAGAUUUGCUUUGGACUUUAUAAAGGGAGGAUCCCGAAAGCUUGUCUACAAAAUUCUGUUAGUGCAAUAAAAAAAGAUAUAACAAGAUACUGAUUUUUUUUUAGUUUGCAUCUGCAUCAUUGGACUAAUAUGGCUACUCAAAUUUACUACAUAAUGUUUUUCAACAAAUAUUUGUCUUAAUCAUGAACUCAACAGUAUAUCUAUAGCCUUAUCCACCUAGAUCAAUUACAUUCUACAGUUUUUCUAACACUAUUCUUUAAAACAUAACCUUUUUGUCUGCAGUCAAACACAUAUUGCUGUGGUGUCCCAGCACCAAAGGCGGUCCUGUGGCUUCGGACUUCCUCAGACAGACCUGCGGACAGGUGUUGGGCCCACCGAGGGACUGAUUAUUGCUUCUGUUGUGUUCCAGAACUUUACCAAAAGUUUAAUAUAAUUUCAUAGGUAUCAUGUUAUAUGUUAUUUCUAUAUAUGUUAUUUAUAUUUGUUUUUAAGAGUGGAGAUGUGUAAACCCAUGUGACCCUGCCGUCCAAUGGGAAUUCCUAAAUUCUUAGCCAUAUAGAGUAGUGUGGGGAGGAGUUACCGCAGUCUAGCCCUAGUGCUAAGUCUGAGCAAAAGUGUGGUAAAGGUGUGAGGUGUGUGGAGAAGCUCUAAGGGAAGGCCCAGAACAAAUCUAUCUUAUCCAGUCAUUCUGCAAGGAUCUCCCGCACAGUGGAAGUUCAUGCCCUGGCGGAGAAGGCUACAGAACCUUGACAGAACCCUAGCUACCUGGAUCAAUCUUCAAUCCUUUCUCAAGUCAGUAUCAAUCUAUUGGGUGAAAGCACUACAAGUCCCAGCAAGGCAACAGGGCUCCAAUGGGGUUACGCUGCAUCCUCUCCAAUCUGUCUGUGUGUAUUAACAUCUGCACCUUGCUCAGUAAAGACA